CGCACGGGUGAGUAACACGUAUCCAACCUGCCGUCUACUCUUGGACAGCCUUCUGAAAGGAAGAUUAAUACAGGAUGGCAUCAUGAGUUCACAUGUUCACAUGAUUAAAGGUAUUCCGGUAGACGAUGGGGAUGCGUUCCAUUAGAUAGUAGGCGGGGUAACGGCCCACCUAGUCUUCGAUGGAUAGGGGUUCUGAGAGGAAGGUCCCCCACAUUGGAACUGAGACACGGUCCAA
RNAcentral lists this ribosomal RNA (235 nucleotides) under uncultured bacterium. RNAcentral describes it as "partial 16S ribosomal RNA". It matches the Rfam family "Bacterial small subunit ribosomal RNA", at positions 99 to 334 of the family's 1533-position model. The record is from RNAcentral.